ACUUACCAGGUCAAGACAUGGGCGUGAUUGACAGGCUAAUGACUUUUCUCGAUUCCAUGGAUGGUGGUGCAUGGUCGCACUUAGUUGGUGCAGUGAUUUGUCAGGUUUAUUCCGGUAACGAACGAGACCUCGGCCUUGUAAAUAGCUAUGCUGCUUACAGGGACAUUGGCGGCUACGCCAAGGAAGCUCGAGGCAAUUGCAGAUCUGGAAUGCCCUUAGAUGUCCUGGGUCGCACGCGUGCUACAAUGACGCCACGAACGAGCUUGCGUGAUGAAAGUUACGCAUAAUCAGCAGUCGGCGUCUUAAGGGAUAGUCUCUUGUAACUGUGGGACUCCAACUAGGAAUGUCUCGUAAGCACAAGUCAACAUCUUGUGUUGAUUACGUCCCUGCUCUUUGUACACACCGCCCGUCGCUCCUACCGAUCGAGUGUUUAGGUGAAUUUGAUGGACGUAAGGAAGUCAAAUAAACCUGAGCACUAGAGGAAGGAGAAGUCGAUCAUC
RNAcentral lists this ribosomal RNA (500 nucleotides) under uncultured Myrionecta. RNAcentral describes it as "bacterial SSU rRNA". It matches the Rfam family "Eukaryotic small subunit ribosomal RNA", at positions 1213 to 1795 of the family's 1831-position model. The record is from RNAcentral. Lineage: Eukaryota; Ciliophora; Litostomatea; Cyclotrichida; Mesodiniidae.